Stomoxys calcitrans (stable fly) is the source of this 798-nucleotide long non-coding RNA. RefSeq lists it as uncharacterized. The transcript is spliced from 3 exons. NCBI's taxonomy places the organism in Eukaryota, Metazoa, Arthropoda, Insecta, Diptera, Muscidae. The record is from RefSeq and is a predicted model, not a curated record.
GGUCUGCAUUUUUAUAAUGCCACAUACAGAGGGCACUGAGAACACUACACUUUUUAGUUCUAAAUUUAGUUUUAUGGUAAACUAAAUGUCAUUAUUUUGAGAAGUCAUGACUAUGAAAUGAAAGACUCGUUCAUUCCGUUUUAACUUCGAGAGCAAUAAAGUUCAGUCUUCGUAAAAUCUAAACAUAUAUCGUUUUUUUUUGUUAAGUCAUUGUGACUUGGUAUUAAGAAUUUCUAUCUUUCAGGAGGCCAUUAUCACCCUUUCGUUCACAGUCCACUGAACCCCAACGUUUUCAUGAUCCUUCAACCCGGAUUUUGGCUAACCUAAAAGACGUGAAAUCUGGAAAAUCAUCCAAAUCAAUCCCUGCAGUUCACAAGGAAAACCAGAAUGCCACCUAUUUUAUCCCGCCUUAGCCGUUCCGAGGCAAACAAAAAUUAUUACUCUUGCAGAAUCUGUUCACAAAACCACGGUCUUCGUAAAUGCAAGGUAUUCCGAAAAAAGGAUGCGAAACAACGUAUGCAAUUAGUUGUGACUCACCGCUACUGUCCAAACUGUUUAGCCCAUCAACACUCAUCUAGUUCUUGUUUUUCAACUAAAGGAUGUCGGUUUUGUGGAGGCAACCAUCACUCCUUAUUGCAUAUAGAUAAUCCAAAAUUGCGAAGCAAGAAAACAAGGACAGUAAAGGUCGAAAAAAGCCCCGCAGGUGAACCACCAAACACCAGUUCAACUAACCAGCGAUCACUAACGAUAGCGUCUAUUGCAACUCCAAACGCCACUUUGCUAUUUCCAACGGCUAUA